Molecule: small nuclear RNA, 100 nt
Organism: Pteropus vampyrus (large flying fox)
Lineage: Eukaryota; Metazoa; Chordata; Mammalia; Chiroptera; Pteropodidae
Source: Ensembl
GUGCUCGUUUCAGGAGCACAUAUACUAAAGUAGGAACAAUACAGAGAAGAUCGGCAUGGCCCCUGCUCAAGGAUGACUUGCAAAUCCAUCCCAUAUUUUA